Molecule: ribosomal RNA, 336 nt
Filed under: uncultured Flavobacteriia bacterium
Lineage: Bacteria; Pseudomonadati; Bacteroidota; Flavobacteriia
Description: bacterial SSU rRNA
Rfam family: Bacterial small subunit ribosomal RNA
Source: RNAcentral
CGGCUAACUCCGUGCCAGCAGCCGCGGUAAUACGGAGGAUCCAAGCGUUAUCCGGAAUCAUUGGGUUUAAAGGGUCCGUAGGCGGUUUUUUAAGUCAGAGGUGAAAUCCUGCAGCUCAACUGUAGAAUUGCCUUUGAUACUGAAAGACUUGAGUUAUUGUGAAGUGGUUAGAAUGUGUGGUGUAGCGGUGAAAUGCAUAGAUAUYACACAGAAUACCAAUUGCGAAGGCAGAUCACUAACAAUAUACUGACGCUCAGGGACGAAAGCGUGGGUAGCGAACAGGAUUAGAUACCCUGGUAGUCCACGCCGUAAAACGAUGGAUACUAGCUGUUUGUC